GGAGCCUCUGUCUCUGGAGGCAGAGGCUCAAUGUCAUAGGGUGGUCACAGAGUUAUCAUUUUUAGGGGUGUGGUGGGGUGGGACUGUUGUUGAAGUAAAAGGAGGAGGGUUAGACCUGCCCAACUAGAGGUUUCUUCUAGUUUUUAUAUUUUUAAGACAGUUUAUUAUUAUGUGGCCAAUGAACCAGCAGGUGGCACUACACAACAAUUUUACACAGGCAAAAAUAAGGUCCCUUAGGGCGAAAAAGAUGAUGUUUUCUCAAAUGGGACCUUUGGAAGGAUAUGGACCUGUACAACAUGCACGCCUACCGGGGAAAAAGGACUGAAAAUAGUUGUUCGAAUAGGAUGCCCUUCACCCCGGCUUAACACCAUGCAUGUGCCAUGCAUGUAUACAGUGAAACAGAACAGUGAGUGAGAGACACAAUCCCUACCUUCACCACUGAGUGGAAUUCAGACAAGAAGGAGGCAAUAAUGUAGCUGUGGGAGGAGAAGCACAAGGAGAAUGUGAUCAACACUACUCUGACAAUUUACACAAACAAGAAGUGACCACUUUAAAGAUGGAAUGCCAAGAACAAUACAAUAAAUGCUAAAGAGAAAGAGUGACAAAAGUGAGCAACUACAGAUAAUGCAGUCAUGGAACCAGAAAAAGAGGUUUGCAGCCUUACAUCAGGGGAAGGAUUUUGGCAGGUGUCUGAAAAUGUGUCUCGAAACAUCUCUGUAGACAAGACUGAGAAAGGUUCUGAAAAACUGCCUGCAAAAUGGCUGAUUUCAGCUGAGUGUAGGAAAGAGCUUUUUGGCAUGACACUGACCCACAACCACAGUCCGCGUGGGCUGUGCAUGUGGACGGAUGGUGGCAAUGGAGGACAAGUCGCUUGACUAAGGGGAUGGCUUCACUGUGUGUUACAUGUUGCCCAAGGUUUGUCAAUACUGAUUUCAGGGGUCAUGCAUCUAAGACUCUGAAAACUGGUAUCAAAUCAUUUAGACACGACUGAAAAGAAGGAGGGGAUUGAAAACUCAUCUCUGUUUUAUGCCAUAAAAACUAUUCUCUUUCUUUAAGUAUUAUAGACGUGAUCCUAAGGAAGACAGAAGCCACAGACACACUUUGAUUUUGGAGUCACAGAAAACUCUGAAUCCCUUUAAGAACUCAUGUGAUACUAAAGACACCAAGAACAACAAGGACUCUCAGAGCUUCUGGUAGAGGGUUCAACCGGCACUGAUGGAACUCUUGGGGAUCCCUGCAGACAAUCUAUGAAAAUCUUCCAGAACUACUAUUUCCAGAAAGACACUCUGGGAAAUACAGCUUUUGACUGAUAAGGAAAAGAAAUUGAGAUGCAUGUUACACCCUCCCAAAGUCUGAAAACCC
RNAcentral lists this long non-coding RNA (1362 nucleotides) under Homo sapiens (human). RNAcentral's name for it is "long non-coding RNA NONHSAT162002.1". The record is from RNAcentral. Lineage: Eukaryota; Metazoa; Chordata; Mammalia; Primates; Hominidae.